AUGCCAUGUAUGAGAUGUUUUCCUGGUGCACUUGCUGCUGUCAUGUGUCUCCUGUGUGCUUGGUUCAGUGAUUUUGCUCAUCUCAGAAUUAAGUCCAUCUUCUUUCUUAUGGGUUGUUUGUUCACUGUGCAUAUUUCUGUGGAGAAUCAUUCUGCCAUGGCAAGGCACCUCAUGGGUGCUUGUGCAAAGGCUGAACUAAGCCUGGAAAAUAUAGGCAAAUCACAGCACAAAAUUGUCCUUGGUUUCUCGGAAACUACUCCCUCCGUUCCUAAAUACUCACUCCGUUUUUAUUUACUCUGCAUAGAGAUUUCAAUACGAACUACGCCUUUUUAG
This 333-nucleotide ribosomal RNA is filed under the name Triticum aestivum (bread wheat). Its description in RNAcentral is "partial small subunit ribosomal RNA". The record is from RNAcentral. Lineage: Eukaryota; Viridiplantae; Streptophyta; Magnoliopsida; Poales; Poaceae.